Biomphalaria pfeifferi is the source of this 275-nucleotide non-coding RNA. The record is from the annotation of a GenBank genome assembly. Lineage: Eukaryota; Metazoa; Mollusca; Gastropoda; Planorbidae.
AUUUUUUUUAAAAUUUCAUUUAUGGCCACCAAAUUCACUUUGCCUAGGGCUUUCAAUUAUCUAAGGCCAGCACUGAACAAAGAAAAAACAUUCAACAAUAGGUGCAUAAAAAUUGAAUAGAAGAUAGUAGAAUACAUGGGAUUCAAGAACAGAGUUGUAAACAAUAGCGUAGACGAUUGUAGUGUAUAAAACAAUAAACAUUGAUAUAAAAAAAAUCUAAAGUUGUUCAUUAGAAACAUUCUCUAUUAUUUAUAAAAAUAAGAACAAGAUUCUGC